CCUACGGGAGGCAGCAGUAGGGAAUAUUGCUCAAUGGGGGAAACCCUGAAGCAGCAACGCCGCGUGGAGGAUGAAGGUUUUCGGAUUGUAAACUCCUUUUGUUAGAGAAGAGAAUGACGGUAUCUAACGAAUAAGCACCGGCUAACUCCGUGCCAGCAGCCGCGGUAAUACGGAGGGGGCAAGCGUUAUCCGGAAUCACUGGGCGUAAAGAGCGCUGAGGCGGGGUAGCAAGUCAGAUGUGAAAUCCUCUGGCUUAACCAUAGAACUGCAUUUGAAACUGUUAUUCUAGAGUAUGGGAGAGGUAGGUGGAAUUCUUGGUGUAGUGGUGAAAUCCGUAGAGAUCAAGAGGAAUACUCAUUGCGAAGGCGGCCUGCUAGAACAUAACUGACGCUGAGGCGCGAAAGCGUGGGGAGCAAACAGGAUUAGAUACCCGUGUAGUC
This 440-nucleotide ribosomal RNA is filed under the name uncultured bacterium. Its description in RNAcentral is "partial 16S ribosomal RNA". It matches the Rfam family "Bacterial small subunit ribosomal RNA", at positions 338 to 795 of the family's 1533-position model. The record is from RNAcentral.